This is a long non-coding RNA of Culex pipiens pallens (northern house mosquito), 536 nucleotides long. RefSeq lists it as uncharacterized. The transcript is spliced from 2 exons. The record is from RefSeq and is a predicted model, not a curated record. Lineage: Eukaryota; Metazoa; Arthropoda; Insecta; Diptera; Culicidae.
UUGUCAACCUAUUUGUAAACAUUUUUUGUGGACAAAGACAGACUAAGCCAACGUAAUAUUUAGCCAUUCAAGAUCCGAAGCCAGAUUAAAGUCACCACCAAAAGAUUCGGCACCGAUGGAGGCACCGGGCGUGAAAUAUGUAAGAUGAAGUUGCCAAAGAUAGCAAUAACAGUUCUGCCUGCGUAGAACUUCCGGUGGACAAACUUGCUGCUGUCCAACGCCAGAUCCUAGAGUCAAACCUACAUCGUCGCUGAGCCAUCACCAGGAUGGUCGCUCUAAGUUGCAAGAAGUGGCCUACUUAACCGCCGCGAGUUGCCCCCUGACAAAAAAUGAGUACCGCCUCAUUAUAGUAUGGCUCCUUUCAAACAAAGAAAAUUUCAAUUCCCCCCUUUAAUGACCUCUCUUGGAGGCACCCAUAGCCGGAUCCUGGUUCCCCGCAGUAAUGCGGGACUAUUCUUCACCACAAAAAGAGUCAAUGUUUCAUUUGUAUUGCAUUUCUACGUAAUGUUGUGAAUAAAAAAAUGUGCUUAACCGUC